UACAGAGACUGCAAGCGUUAUUCGGAUUCACUGGGCGUAAAGGGUGCGCAGGCGGCCAAGUGUGUGAGGCGUGAAAGCCUGGGGCUUAACUCCAGAAUUGCACCUCAAACUACAUGGCUAGAGCAUUGGAGAGGGUAGCAGAAUUCACGGUGUAGCAGUGAAAUGCGUAGAUAUCGUGAGGAAUACCAGAGGCGAAGGCGGCUACCUGGACAAUUGCCGACGCUCAGGCACGAAAGCGUGGGGAGCAAAAGGG
Molecule: ribosomal RNA, 253 nt
Filed under: uncultured bacterium
Lineage: Bacteria
Description: partial 16S ribosomal RNA
Rfam family: Bacterial small subunit ribosomal RNA
Source: RNAcentral